Molecule: ribosomal RNA, 485 nt
Filed under: uncultured bacterium
Lineage: Bacteria
Description: partial 16S ribosomal RNA
Rfam family: Bacterial small subunit ribosomal RNA
Source: RNAcentral
AUUGAACGCUGGCGGCAUGCCUUACACAUGCAAGUCGAACGGCAGCACGGGUGCUUGCACCUGGUGGCGAGUGGCGAACGGGUGAGUAAUACAUCGGAACGUACCUUAUCGUGGGGGAUAACGCAGCGAAAGUUGCGCUAAUACCACAUACGCCCUGAGGGGGAAAGCGGGGGACCGUAAGGCCUCGCGCGAUUAGAGCGGCCGAUGUCUGAUUAGCUUGUUGGUGAGGUAAAAGCUCACCAAGGCGAUGAUCAGUAGCUGGUCUGAGAGGACGAUCAGCCACACUGGGACUGAGACACGGCCCAGACUCCUACGGGAGGCAGCAGUGGGGAAUUUUGGACAAUGGGGGCAACCCUGAUCCAGCAAUGCCGCGUGAGUGAAGAAGGCCUUCGGGUUGUAAAGCUCUUUUGUCAGGGAAGAAACAGCAGCUCUAACACAGUCUGCGAAUGACGGUACCUGAAGAAUAAGCACCGGCUAACUACGUG